GAUGAACGCUGGCGGCGUGCCUAAUACAUGCAAGUCGAGCGAACAGACGAGGAGCUUGCUCCUCUGACGUUAGCGGCGGACGGGUGAGUAACACGUGGAUAACCUACCUAUAAGACUGGGAUAACUUCGGGAAACCGGAGCUAAUACCGGAUAAUAUAUUGAACCGCAUGGUUCAAUAGUGAAAGACGGUUUUGCUGUCACUUAUAGAUGGAUCCGCGCCGCAUUAGCUAGUUGGUAAGGUAACGGCUUACCAAGGCGACGAUGCGUAGCCGACCUGAGAGGGUGAUCGGCCACACGGGAACUGAGACACGGUCCAGACUCCUACGGGAGGCAGCAGUAGGGAAUCUUCCGCAAUGGGCGAAAGCCUGACGGAGCAACGCCGCGUGAGUGAUGAAGGUCUUCGGAUCGUAAAACUCUGUUAUUAGGGAAGAACAAAUGAGUAAGUAACUAUGCACGUCUUGACGGUACCUAAUCAGAAAGCCACGGCUAACUACGUG
Molecule: ribosomal RNA, 497 nt
Filed under: uncultured bacterium
Lineage: Bacteria
Description: partial 16S ribosomal RNA
Rfam family: Bacterial small subunit ribosomal RNA
Source: RNAcentral